CUUCGGACCUGUGCCUGAAACGUCCACCAUAAGAUCUGUGCCUGAAACUACUGACACCUUUUUCUUUUCCCCCCUCAUAAAAACCAAAGGGUAGGAGUUUCUGCUGGAGCUAGCAGGCCACGGGGGAAAGACCUGUUUCAAAGGUAAAGCAGAAGGUUUCUUCAAGCUGCUUGGUAAAUCCCCAGGCUCUUCCCAAAGUGGAGAGCUGAGAAGUCCUCCUAUUUGAUGCUCCAAUUCUUAGGUGAAAGAAAAAAAUAUCUCCCAGCUUCGUCAUUGCUCAAGAUGAGGAAACUGAGCCUCAGAGAGUCUCACAAAAACACCCAAGGCCACAGAGCUGGAUGCAGCAGAGUGGGGAUUGGAUCAGCCUGAGGCCCCAAGCCAGAGCCAAAGGCAACAAGGACAUACCUGUCUGUCUUACCACUUUAACACCUAGCACAAUACUGGGAACUUCACAAACAGGAAAGCAUGCAACCAUGACAUAAAAAUGAUGAGCCUUGGAGGAAAACUCUAACCAACUUCCCUACAAAGACAUUCUUGA
Gorilla gorilla gorilla (western lowland gorilla) is the source of this 538-nucleotide long non-coding RNA. RefSeq lists it as uncharacterized. The record is from RefSeq and is a predicted model, not a curated record. Lineage: Eukaryota; Metazoa; Chordata; Mammalia; Primates; Hominidae. The transcript is spliced from 3 exons.